AAGUCGUAACAAGGUUUCCGUAGGCGAACCUGCGGAAGGAUCAUUAACACUUUUUUCGGAGUGUGGUUUUGAGAAGUUGUCUGUCAAAGGACGUACAUCUCCCACACACAAUCCACUCUACCCAAAUUGAAGUGCUAGUGGAAGGAAAUUUAACUUUCCCUUCCUUUUUUUUUCCCUUUCUCUUUAUUUAAAACCCCAAAAACAUUCGUGCUAAUGCUAUGUCAAAAACAAAAAAAACAAAAAAACUACUAACGUAACCAAACAACUCUUAGCAACGGAUAUCUUGGCUCUC
Molecule: unclassified non-coding RNA, 292 nt
Filed under: fungal sp.
Lineage: Eukaryota; Fungi
Description: partial internal transcribed spacer region
Rfam family: Eukaryotic small subunit ribosomal RNA (bases 1-46)
Source: RNAcentral